This 220-nucleotide ribosomal RNA is filed under the name uncultured Glomus. RNAcentral describes it as "partial small subunit ribosomal RNA". It matches the Rfam family "Eukaryotic small subunit ribosomal RNA", at positions 591 to 817 of the family's 1831-position model. The record is from RNAcentral. Lineage: Eukaryota; Fungi; Glomeromycota; Glomeromycetes; Glomerales; Glomeraceae.
CCAAUAGCGUAUAUUAAAGUUGUUGCAGUUAAAAAGCUCGUAGUUGAAUUUCGGGAUCAGUUGGUCGGUCGUGCUUCGGUACGUACUGGUCAAAUUGAUUCCUACCUUCUGACGAACCACGAUGUCAUUAAUUUGGUGUCGCGGGAAAUCAGGACUGUUACUUUGAAAAAAUUAGAGUGUUUAAAGCAAGCUCGCGCUUGAAUACAUUAGCAUGGAAUAA